RNAcentral lists this ribosomal RNA (300 nucleotides) under uncultured Gammaproteobacteria bacterium. Its description in RNAcentral is "bacterial SSU rRNA". It matches the Rfam family "Bacterial small subunit ribosomal RNA", at positions 114 to 423 of the family's 1533-position model. Lineage: Bacteria; Pseudomonadati; Pseudomonadota; Gammaproteobacteria. The record is from RNAcentral.
UGCUUGGGAAUUUGCCUUUAGGUGGGGGACAACAGUUGGAAACGACUGCUAAUACCGCAUAUUGUCUACGGACUAAAGAGGGCUUCGGCUCUCGCCUUUAGAGAAGCCCAAGUGGGAUUAGGUAGUUGGUGAGGUAAAGGCUCACCAAGCCGACGAUCCCUAGCUGGUCUGAGAGGAUGAUCAGCCACACUGGAACUGAGACACGGUCCAGACUCCUACGGGAGGCAGCAGUGGGGAAUAUUGCACAAUGGGGGAAACCCUGAUGCAGCCAUGCCGCGUGUGUGAAGAAGGCCCUUCGGU